AGUACGUGCCGGCCGAGCCGCAGAUCACCAUUCUGAAGCGGCCCGACCCGGGUCUCGGCGGCCGGCCGGCCCAGGGCGAGCGUGCUCGUCAGCCGGCCAAGUCGCUGCAGCAGCGAGAGGCCGAAUAUGCUGAGGCCCGGCAACGAAUAUUGGGUAGCAGUGGUCUACUGGAGAAGACGACGGGACCAGACAGGGCGGCGCCGCCGGUGGAGCUGCUGCGCAGCAGGGAGGCGGCAGCGGUAACCCGUCUGCCGCGUGGCCCGGACGACACGGCCGGCUUCCAGCUGCCCAGAUAACGCCCACGCCGGCCAGCCGCCAGCUAUUUUUGUACGGAAAGCCACGCGCCCGGCGUUAGGAGUCGGCAGCGGCGCCAUCUCCGGCGCGUGUGACCCGGAGCGGGGUGUUCUGCGCGGCACGAGCGCCGCCGGACGCCGAUGACUGUGAUUGUGCAGGUGAUGCGGCGACGGGGGUGUGCGGUGUCGUGGUGGACGCUGGAGACACCGCGAACGGGCGUGUCUGCGCGGCCGGGUGUCCGCGCGGGCGUGCUGGAGUGAAGUGAACUGCUGAGCGUUGGAGCGGACCACGCUGUCCGGGAAGACUUAUUUUUGGUCCGCGUUUGCCGACAAAGGUCUCGGAUGUGAUUUUCUCUGCCUGGAUUUGCCGGUUGCCAAGUCCCUGGGCCACGUAACGCGCUUGGGUCCGCCUGCUCGCGCAUAUUCAGAUGUUUGUCACAUAGGUCACCGUGAUGAACUUGGCGCCAUAUCAGUAGUGGUGUGUAUUUCGGAUAGGUGGCCGCGCGCAGAUUGUAUCAGCCGCGGUUUCAGCAUCCAUUAAUCUAUGCAGCGGAGUGGCCAUUGAUAUGUGGGGGUCGGAAUUUGAUUCCUGCCGCAAUUCUGCGGCUAUGCGCUGUAUUUUUUUUUCUGGCAGGUGGCUCGAUCGCCAAAUAACUUCAGUCUGAUAACUCGGGAAUAAAGAGGCCCUGCCGCACCAACUCUCAAACAUUGCCAGUGUGUCAUGCAGUUGCCUAGGAUUGUCGAUCUGUUACAACGAUUUUCUACCAGCCUGGCAUCGGUGUUUUCAUACGCCACUUUGUGGAGCACAUGCGCUUUAGCUCGCCUGAUGACAGUUCAGGAAUAAACGGAUAUUGAGUUA
This 1152-nucleotide long non-coding RNA is filed under the name Pollicipes pollicipes. RNAcentral's name for it is "uncharacterized LOC119110511". The record is from RNAcentral. Lineage: Eukaryota; Metazoa; Arthropoda; Thecostraca; Pollicipedomorpha; Pollicipedidae.